This 395-nucleotide ribosomal RNA is filed under the name uncultured bacterium. RNAcentral's name for it is "bacterial SSU rRNA". It matches the Rfam family "Bacterial small subunit ribosomal RNA", at positions 28 to 428 of the family's 1533-position model. The record is from RNAcentral.
GACGAACGCUGGCGGCGUGCUUAACACAUGCAAGUCGAGCGGUAAGGCCCUUUCGGGGGUACACGAGCGGCGAACGGGUGAGUAACACGUGGGUGACCUGCCUUUAGCUCUGGGAUAAGCCUGGGAAACUGGGUCUAAGUACCGGAUAUGACUCCGCGGUGCAUGCUGUGGGGUGAAAGCCUUGUGCGGCUGGAGAUGGGCCCGCGGCCUAUCAGCUUGUUGGUGGGGUGAUGGCCUACCAAGGCGACGACGGGUAGCCGGCCUGAGAGGGCGACCGGCCACACUGGGACUGAAGACACGGCCCAGACUCCUACGGGAGGCAGCAGUGGGGAAUCUUGCGCAAUGGGCGAAAGCCUGACGCAGCGACGCCGCGUGAGGGAUGACGGCUGGUGUAA